This is a long non-coding RNA of Felis catus (domestic cat), 1712 nucleotides long. RefSeq lists it as uncharacterized. The transcript is spliced from 3 exons. The record is from RefSeq and is a predicted model, not a curated record. Lineage: Eukaryota; Metazoa; Chordata; Mammalia; Carnivora; Felidae.
UCACCCGCGUGUCACGGCCGUGACGUCACCGGGGUGCGUGACGUAAUCCUAGGAGCGCCCUCGCGCAGUCUUCUGGGGAGGGUUCUUUCCUUUCGUGCCCACCCUCGCGCGUGCACGUUUCCUCCGCUCUGCCGUUUCCAUGGCUCCGAUUACCUACUUCGUUCUCUUCCCUGUGCUAAACCUGUGCCGUAAUGUGGGAUUUACUAGAAGAGCAUGGGUGGUGUUCGAGAAGUUGAAAUCCUAGAGGGAGAAAGAUGGGGAAGCCCAUACUGCUUGUGUUUUUUCCAUUACAGCGAGUGUCUCUGUCGUUAAAAUAAGACUUGAAACCUCCAGGGGGAAACAUCUGAGCGAAUUUGAUAGAAAUAUAUUUAGGAACAGCUAAAUUAUCAGAAUGAUUUCUGUAUCCGUCUCAUUAAAGGAUCUGGCCUGUUAAAAUUCAUUCAGCAAAUGUAAGUGGAAAACUUGUCGUGUGCAAGGGCCUGCACAAGGCACAGCAUUCCAGUCAUCUGAAGCAUCAAAACUUAAAUGAUUUUUAUUUUCAAGAAAAUCAUCGAGAACAUUUUAAAUACUUCGUGCCUUUCGUGAAUAGAAUAUUCUAAGACAUUAUCUGUAAAAAGUAUGCAUGAAAAUAAGAGUUAAAUUCCCCUUGUGAGGCCCAAUUACAGAAUGAAAUUAAAGACACCCAAUCCGUUACUAAAAGUACAUUUAUUUUAAAGGAAAGGGAAUAUGCCCCGGGGUGGGGGUGGGGGGGGUGCGGAAUAAGGAAUGGAGAAAUAGGAGUGAGAAACACAGUGGAAGAUACUGUGGCCUACUGAUGGUGUACAGUUUUAAUCACCAAAGUAACCAAGCCAUCAAGUCAUGAGAAGCAUUGAGUGAACUACAUUUCUUUACUUCCCAUGAGGAGGAAAUUCACCAGUGACCUCCUUAUAGUAUUCACCAUGAUUAAAGAGAUGGAAAGCUGUCCUACUAACUUCUGAAGCUGAAUGUCUGCAUACCGAUAGAGUCACUAUGAGCCCAGGAACUGAUCCUUAGUCCAAAGGCCAUUCUAAAGCCCCGCAGGAUCCAGAUGGGAGAAUAUAGAGGAAGCAUAAACUUUGUAGAGUACAAAGAUCAGUAUCAGCAUGCCAUAUCUUAACUAUAUGUAAUCUCAAAGAAGGUAAGCUCGCUUAAACCCCUAUUGUUAUUUUAAUGUGUAAAAUGACGUUGGUAAUAAUGCCAACCCAACCCGCCUAACUAUAUCAUUGUGAGGAUCAAACAUAGUUUUGCCCUUAACAAAAUGUAAAGUUACCUCCUCAGUCAUAAUGCAGACAAGGCACAGCAGAGAUGGCUUGCCUCUGCCCCAUGAUAUCUGGGACCCUCAGGUGGGAAGACUCAAUACCUAGAAGUGUCUCAAUGGGUGGGGACUGGAAUAAUAUGGAGGCAUGUUUCCUCAUAUACCUGGUGAUUGAAGCUGGUACCUCAGCUGGGGGCAAUCAGCCAGAAUACCCAAACAUACUUUCCUCAUGUGGCCUGAGCUUCCUCAUAGCAUGGCUGUUUCAGGGUAGUCAGCCUUCUUACAAGGUGGCUGGGGGCUCCAAAUGCUAGGCUUCCUAUAAGCAAGGUGAAACCUGUAUUGUAUUUUAUGACCUAGCCUCCGGAGUCACCUGGUGUCACUUCUGUUGAAUUUUUAUUUUAUUUUAUUUUAUUUUAUUUUAUUUUAUUUUAUUUUAUUU